Molecule: long non-coding RNA, 2281 nt
Filed under: Capsella rubella
Lineage: Eukaryota; Viridiplantae; Streptophyta; Magnoliopsida; Brassicales; Brassicaceae
Description: long non-coding RNA (CRUB_LNC004735)
Source: RNAcentral
CGAGACCGAGACAUCAUCAUAAUAAGUGGAGUUCAAACUUUUAAGGUGAGAGAUAGUCAAAUAAACACAGUACAAAAUAGACCUUUGGUCCCGCGGGCAUGUGGCACAUUCUCAUUGGUCGUAUGACUUUCAACAGAUAUAAACGCGUUUGACGGAAACCGCGUUGAGAGCAUUAAAACGCAAAAGGCCAAUGCCACGAAAGCCAAAAAAAAAAAAAAAACUCCUAUCGGAUCCACUUUUGCUUCUUCUUCUUUUUUUUUUGACCCAUUUUUCACAAUUCGGAUCUUCUCUUUUCACUUUAUGAAAAUCUCUUUCUUUUAAAAUAAAAAUAAAAUGGCAAUGUAUGUUGUACUAUAUUACUUGAUUUAGAUGCAAUGAAUCUAAGCUAUCAAAAGACUACUUAUAAAUUAUAAUAAUAACAUCGGGAAGGAAAUCGGGCGCGUGAGAUCCACUCGCGGCGAUUUCUUUCUCUUCACUUUUUCUUCUUCUGAGCACAAGUUCUUGCUCCGACGAUGGGUCCUCCGUCGAUUCCGGCGACGAUGAGGGUUCUAUGGUUUAUGGUGCUUCAACCGCAAUCUGCUGCUUGUUCUAGGCUACAAUCACGAAUCAAAAUCAAGGGAGAAGUAGAGAGGGGUAGCUUUUGCGAGACACCAUCGUUGGUUCCAUCGGUGGUGUAGCGGCGCAGAGUGGAAGAGGAAGCCUUCACGGCGAAGUUUGAGAGAGAAACCGGUUAGAUCUGGGACUAGAGAUCCUGGAGGCUUUUUGAGGCCGCCGCUCGAUGGGGGAGGUUGACUCCGGCCGAAGGAAGCUAAGCCACUGUCAACGGUUCCUAGAUCUACUCCCUACCGUCUUUCGAUCUCACGACAGAGCUUGAAGCUUUCACGAAAUCAACAGCUCGGUUUCUUCCUCCUCCUCGAAGUUUCUCUACGGUGGCGGAGAGGCAAACGGAUCUUUGAUCACCUCCUUCGUUCGGCCGACGACGUCCAGGCACACCGGAGGUCUUUUCCGGCGUGUUUCCGCAGUUGUGGACGGCGGCUACGACGUGUUUUGCGUUUGUAGAUUAGGGUUUCUAUGGUACCGGUUAAUUCUGGUUCUGCGAAACCAGGUCGGUUUUGUUUUCGUUUGGUUUAGUUUGGUUAGAAGCUGUAGAUUGGGCCCCUUGGGAUUUGGAUGGGCCUAAUCCGGAAAUAUGUAGUCCAUUGGGCAUAAAUAUUUAAAUUGCAAGCCUUUUACAAAAAAAAAAAAAAAAAAGACUACUUAUAGAUAAAUUAAGAAAGAAUAAUCCAAAUAUGUCAGUCAUCUCUUUAGUUUACCCACAAAAGAUGUCAGAGAGGGAACUGAGAGAGAGGAGAGAGUAGAGUAUCAUUUCGAUUAAAAAUAGGUAUCCCAAAAAAGCUGUCAGUUAUUAAGACAGCUAAGAUUUUAUUAGUUGACUAUUUCCAUUUUCCCCUGCGGACAGGACACGCUCUCGGCUUUAUGAAAUUUAUGCGUAAGAGUAGGAGAGAUCUUCGUGUUGCUUUCCCUUUUUUCAUGCGUUGGUGUUUAUUAUUAGUAUUUCACUUUUUUCACACUUUAUUAUAUGACCAAUCAUUUUUAUAGACCUAUUAGCUAAUUAGAGUUUUAAAAAUAAAUGGUGUGUGUAUGGUUCGAGGUUGGAUUGAACCCAAUAGGAAAUGAACAAACUCAGUUUGCGCAGAGCCAGUUAAUGUAAAUAUUGAAACGUAGAGAUACAACCAAGUAAGAACAAAAGCACUUAAGACAAAGUCAUUGCACCGUUACACGUACGUAUGCAAAGCAAGUAAGAGAAAAAAAAUGAUAUAUAAAUCACAGCAUCGUAAUGGUGAACACGCACACGAGCCAUCCACAUGGAGUGCCCGCCUCCUUCUGCGGCUCUUCUCUCAACAAUAUAUAUAAAUAUAUAAUCACUACUGCAGGUUGAUAUUUUGCAAAACUAAACGAUUUUUCAACCUUAUGAUUAGCAAAUUAACAGCAUACUUAUAUUUACAACUUUUACAUAUCAAAUGAUUGGAAUUGCUAUUUUAAACAUGUAUCCAUAGUAUCAUUCUUUUUCCAAUUUUGGGUCAUUACGAAAUUCGAAUUACGGCACCCCUAGUCUCAACUUUGCAAUUUGCAUCACAUUGACGCCUGUACACGAUUACAGGAAGCAAUAUAUUAAGUUACGCGAAGGCUUUAUUAAUAUAUCGUAUAAUGAUGAAAUAUGUAAACAUUAAGUGAUCAAAUAGAUGAUUUAAUAUAUAGGCUAAUGACAUAUGAAGAGUUC